Molecule: ribosomal RNA, 253 nt
Filed under: uncultured bacterium
Lineage: Bacteria
Description: partial 16S ribosomal RNA
Rfam family: Bacterial small subunit ribosomal RNA
Source: RNAcentral
UACGAAGGGGGCUAGCGUUGCUCGGAAUUACUGGGCGUAAAGCGCACGUAGGCGGCUCUUUAAGUCGGAGGUGAAAUCCUGGAGCUCAACUCCAGAACUGCCUUCGAUACUGUAGAGCUUGAGUUCGGGAGAGGUGAGUGGAACUGCGAGUGUAGAGGUGAAAUUCGUAGAUAUUCGCAAGAACACCAGUGGCGAAGGCGGCUCACUGGCCCGAUACUGACGCUGAGGUGCGAAAGCGUGGGGAUCAAACAGG